Molecule: long non-coding RNA, 341 nt
Filed under: Rattus norvegicus (Norway rat)
Lineage: Eukaryota; Metazoa; Chordata; Mammalia; Rodentia; Muridae
Description: long non-coding RNA NONRATT011065
Source: RNAcentral
UGACCGGACACCCUUCCAUACCUCCUUGCAUUCGGGAACGUCUAAGUCCUCGUCCCUCCUCCGUUUGCUGUGCAUCUCCUACUGUGCUCUCUACAGAAUGUAAUUUAUUGGGGCACCCUCUGCUGCUUCCUUUCCCUGACUCCUUGCCCUACCUAAUUGCACUUCCAGUCCUGUCUGUCCACAUAUGUACAUGUAUAUAAUUAUACAUAUAUAUAUAUAUAUCUAUUUUGCCCAGAUCUGGGUUUCGUUUUUACCCAGACCCCGGCACUCCCUGUCCACUGUGUGUGAGAUCAUACUAGGAGGGGUAACUGCUUGGAAUUAAAAGGUUGCACUGGGUCCCU